This 434-nucleotide ribosomal RNA is filed under the name uncultured bacterium. RNAcentral's name for it is "bacterial SSU rRNA". It matches the Rfam family "Bacterial small subunit ribosomal RNA", at positions 958 to 1392 of the family's 1533-position model. The record is from RNAcentral.
AACGCGAAGAACCUUACCAGGUCUUGACAUCCAGGUAAAACCUAAGAGAUUAGGAGUGCCUUCGGGCAAUCUGAGACAGGUGGUGCAUGGUUGUCGUCAGCUCGUGUCGUGAGAUGUUGGGUUAAGUCCCGCAACGAGCGCAACCCUUAUUGCUAGUUGCCAGCACGUAAAGGUGGGAACUCUAGUGAGACCGCCGGGGACAACUCGGAGGAAGGUGGGGACGACGUCAAAUCAUCAUGCCCCUUAUGUCUUGGGCUACACACGUGCUACAAUGGCCGGUACAAAGGGCAGCGACCUCGUAAGAGUAAGCGAAUCUCAAAAAGCCGGUCCCAGUUCGGAUUGUGGGCUGCAACCCGCCCACAUGAAGUCGGAGUUGCUAGUAAUCGCGAAUCAGCAUGUCGCGGUGAAUACGUUCCCGGGUCUUGUACACACCG